This 781-nucleotide ribosomal RNA is filed under the name uncultured bacterium. Its description in RNAcentral is "bacterial SSU rRNA". It matches the Rfam family "Bacterial small subunit ribosomal RNA", at positions 667 to 1447 of the family's 1533-position model. The record is from RNAcentral.
UNCCAUGUGUAGCGGUGGAAUGCGUAGAUAUAUGGAGGAACNCCGGUGGCGAAAGCGGCUCUCUGGUCUGUAACUGACGCUGAGGCUCGAAAGCGUGGGGAGCGAACAGGAUUAGAUACCCUGGUAGUNCACGCCGUAAACGAUGAGUGCUAGGUGUUAGGCCCUUUCCGGGGCUUAGUGCCGCAGCUAACGCAUUAAGCACUCCGCCUGGGGAGUACGACCGCAAGGUUGAAACUCAAAGGAGUUGACGGGGGCCCGCACAAGCGGUGGAGCAUGUGGUUUAAUUCGAAGCAACGCGAAGAACCUUACCAGGUCUUGACAUCCCGAUGCCCGCUCUAGAGAUAGAGUUUUACUUCGGUACAUCGGUGACAGGUGGUGCAUGGUUGUCGUCAGCUCGUAUCGUGAGAUGUUGGGUUAAGUCCCGCAACGAGCGCAACCCUUAUUGUUAGUUGCCAUCAUUCAGUUGGGCACUCUAGCGAGACUGCCGGUAAUAAACCGGAGGAAGGUGGGGAUGACGUCAAAUCAUCAUGCCCCUUAUGACCUGGGCUACACACGUGCUACAAUGGCUGGUACAACGAGUCGCAAGUCGGUGACGGCAAGCUAAUCUCUUAAAGCCAGUCUCAGUUCGGAUUGUAGGCUGCAACUCGCCUACAUGAAGUCGGAAUCGCUAGUAAUCGCGGAUCAGCACGCCGCGGUGAAUACGUUCCCGGGCCUUGUACACACCGCCCGUCACACCACGAGAGUUUGUAACACCCGAAGUCGGUGAGGUANCCUUUUAGGA